Molecule: long non-coding RNA, 817 nt
Filed under: Mus musculus (house mouse)
Lineage: Eukaryota; Metazoa; Chordata; Mammalia; Rodentia; Muridae
Description: long non-coding RNA chr13:84408568-84409385
Source: RNAcentral
AAUCACAAAGUUACCGAAAUUUCUAGGGAACUCAUUAUUCACAGGGAGCAGAUUUUAUUUCUAUUGUGUUUAAAAGGUGAAAAGGAAAGAGAAAGUGAAGUGGCCUAGAAUCCCAAACAACUUGAGGCAUCUUCCAGACCACAAAGACAAUGAUGCUACGGCACAGUCAUCUGUUACCUCAGUUCACAUCACUAAUACAAUCCCAUAACAGAUUCCGGAGGAAAAAAAAGAAAUACUUUAUCCCAUUUCCUUUCUUAAUUAAACAGUGCUUAAACUGGAAAAUAUUCAUCAGAAAUUGUUCCUAAUAUAGCUAAAUGGUUUAGGUUCAAUUUAAAUUUAAGAAGAGCUGCAGUAAUUAAAAAAAAAGACAUUGCAGCUCUGUUUUAUUAUUUAUUCAUGUAUACAGCUGAAAUAAUCAUAUGAUGGUUUUAAAGAAUUGUGUUUGCCGUCCCCUCAAGGAUCAUAGAUCUAUGAUGAAGAGGAUGCAGAGACAUUGGAAGAGCCAGAGGGAAUGGAUGACUCCUAAGAGACAGUGUCUUCCAGACACAGUAGGACUGACACACAUAUGGACUCGCAGAGAUUAUGGCAACAUAUAAAAAGCCUACAUAGGUACAAACUAGAUGAAGUCCCAGGAAUGAGAGGGAGUAGUGGACACAAAUAUCCCAUCUCUAACCAAAAAUCUAUCUACAACAGACAUUAAAGGAAAAAUUAGAUUUCUCCCGUGGAGUGUCAUGGUUAUAUUAAUCACAUCUCAUGCCUAGGAGUAGUUGACUAACACAAAAUAAAUGAUAUUUUAUUUCUGUUGUGUUUAAAAAGG